AUAUAAACCAAAUUUUGAAAAGUAUUCAUAUAACCUCAUUCACAACUCCUUUAGUAUCAAAAAUAAUGUCAAUUUCAUUUUGACAAAAAUAGUAAAACAAAACCAAAUGCGAAUAUGAUUCUUCCCGAAUAUCCACAGUCCCAAAAAUAAAGAUAAAGCAGCUUUUGCAAUAGUUUUCAAACACCUAAUUCUUUCAAAGUGGCACCAAGCACCUAACUUAAAUUUCUGAUUCGGAAAGCAGCAUAUUAGGAAUUCCUUCAAAUAUGGGGUACACAUGUCCACAAUUCCCGCAAACCAUUUUCCCCUCUGUGAUUUCAGUCUAGUAGUUAAGGUUAGAACACAGCUGAACUUUUUAGAAUCAUACCUCUAGUAAAACAUUAUGAAGAGAUUUCAAUAGCACCUCAUCGGAAUCAUCAACAAGAUCGGGCUUUUCAUCAGGUAAACUAUAAUUACCCAACUAGUUAUGGUUAGAUUGGCUUAACAACAUUGGAUUAUGAAAAUUUUAAUCCGACACAACAUAUCAUUUCUUCAUCAAUCCAACUAUAAGAGCACAAACCUGUCUCGUUGUCUUUAACAAAGCAUUCCAAUCGAUUCUGGGCAUAAUUCCAAUAAGGAACUCCGGUUUCAAUUCUAAUUGUUGAAUAGCCAAUUUCGCAUCAACCACAUCCAACGGGAAUGCCUCAGGAGAGCUUGUGCAUUUUUUAUUAGAACAGUUUAAGAAGUUUGCUAUUCAUUAGAUAAACUGACUUGUGAAGUUCGUACCUGUUAGUAGCUUCAUUCUUUUGCUUUCAAGUAUUUAAGAAGUUGAAUAAUUUAUUUACAGCCG
Schizosaccharomyces pombe (fission yeast) is the source of this 826-nucleotide non-coding RNA. Lineage: Eukaryota; Fungi; Ascomycota; Schizosaccharomycetes; Schizosaccharomycetales; Schizosaccharomycetaceae. The record is from the annotation of a GenBank genome assembly.